Molecule: small nuclear RNA, 107 nt
Organism: Pan troglodytes (chimpanzee)
Lineage: Eukaryota; Metazoa; Chordata; Mammalia; Primates; Hominidae
Source: Ensembl
GUGCUCACUUUGGCAGCACAUAUAAUAAUAUUAGAACAACACAGAGAAGACUAGCAUGGUUCCUGCACAAGGAUGACACACAAAUUCAUGAAGCAUUCCAUAUUUUU